GAUAUCCGAUACGAUUGUCCUAUCAACAUGACAGUUUAAUGAUAUUCUGUAGCUACUGAAAUGAUAAAAUGGUUGACUUUCGUACUCCAAAAAGACUAGCAGUCAAGUCGAGGUUCGAGGUGACACAUGAUGACUCCCUUCGUCUAAUGUGACAGAUCACAUGAUGAUAUGCAUAUCGGAUCAUCUUGAACUUGGGAGUGGGGGGU
Molecule: long non-coding RNA, 206 nt
Filed under: Elaeis guineensis (African oil palm)
Lineage: Eukaryota; Viridiplantae; Streptophyta; Magnoliopsida; Arecales; Arecaceae
Description: long non-coding RNA (EGUI_LNC035493)
Source: RNAcentral